Catharus ustulatus (Swainson's thrush) is the source of this 976-nucleotide long non-coding RNA. RefSeq lists it as uncharacterized. Lineage: Eukaryota; Metazoa; Chordata; Aves; Passeriformes; Turdidae. The record is from RefSeq and is a predicted model, not a curated record. The transcript is spliced from 2 exons.
GGGUAAGGACUGUCUUGGCUCUCAUCACUCACCUGUGUUCAGUGGAAGCAGUGUGAUUGGGGGCCUCUUUUCCACGACUGAGCCAUUCCCAGCAUCUCCUCCAUCAUCUUGCAACAAUGCUCACUCUGACAACUAAACCUGCCCCCAUGAAGGGAUGCCUCUGCAGAUAAUGCACUCCCAAGGUUUGCUCCUGUCAUGAUCUGGCAGUGCAUGACACAGACCAAAUGUCUUCGUCAAAGACAAAAGCCUUGAGGACCAGGAGCAGAAGAGUCAUGACUCUCAGUGUCUCCCUGACAUGGCUGUAAUCUCACAGCAGGCUGUGCCCUCCACUCCCAGGGGAUGCCUCACCUUUCCACACCAUCAACAAGGAGAAAACAUUCAACAAGCUCCUCUAAUGUGAGACUUGCUGUCAGGAGAGUGGGACUGUGACAGAUCCAUCAGAGUCUUGCUCACUUUGAGACCUCCCUUCAUCUUCCCCAAUGCGGGAAUGAAAAGCCCAGUCCCAAGAGUCUUUCCCUGAACCCCACAACAAGCAAACAGCUCCAUCCCAGCACUGCUAUGAGCUGCUGUGACCAUGCAAGUCAGGGACACCUCUGCUAUCCCCCUUGAGUGACCCAGCAGAAAGUUCUUCUGGAUACCCAGAGCUGGACCUGCCUCCACUGGAGUAGAUAACUACAGAUGCCCAAACGCUCCUGCUCAUGGCACACCCUGAUGCCUCGUCUGCAUGGUCCCUGUCACAGAGCACAGGGAGGCGAUGCAGCUCCUUUCUGGCCAUGGGAUACCCUCCAUCUCCCUUUCCUGGCUUGAGAGGGAUGUUUCUCCAUGGCCCUCAGCAACACCCAACGUGUGCCUAAGGACAAGGACCUCAGCUGCUACAUCCAGGGGGAGGGAGGACAUAUUUCAGACCAUGACCUCCAUCCCUCCCCAGCACCAAGACACACCUUUACCUAUGUCAAUAAAUUAUUACAUAAAAGCA